UACGUAGGUGGCAAGCGUUGUCCGGAUUUAUUGGGUUUAAAGGGUGCGUAGGUGGGGUGGUAAGUCAGUGGUGAAAUCUCCAGGCUUAACUCGGAAAGGUCAACUGAUACUGUGCGACUAGAGUGCGGAAGGGGCAACUGGAAUUCUCGGUGUAGCGGUGAAAUGCGUAGAUAUCGAGAGGAACACCUGCGGCGAAGGCGGGUUGCUGGGCCGACACUGACGCUGAUGCGCGAAAGCCAGGGGAGCGAACGGG
RNAcentral lists this ribosomal RNA (253 nucleotides) under uncultured bacterium. RNAcentral's name for it is "partial 16S ribosomal RNA". It matches the Rfam family "Bacterial small subunit ribosomal RNA", at positions 524 to 776 of the family's 1533-position model. The record is from RNAcentral.